GUUUCAGCCGCCGCGGUAAUACGUAGGGUGCGAGCGUUAUCCGGAAUUAUUGGGCGUAAAGAGCUCGUAGGCGGUUUGUCGCGUCUGUCGUGAAAGUCCGGGGCUUAACCCCGGAUCUGCGGUGGGUACGGGCAGACUAGAGUGCAGUAGGGGAGACUGGAAUUCCUGGUGUAGCGGUGGAAUGCGCAGAUAUCAGGAGGAACACCGAUGGCGAAGGCAGGUCUCUGGGCUGUAACUGACGCUGAGGAGCGAAAGCAUGGGGAGCGAACAGGAUUAGAUACCCUGGUAGUCCAUGCCGUAAACGUUGGGCACUAGGUGUGGGGACCAUUCCACGGUUUCCGCGCCGCAGCUAACGCAUUAAGUGCCCCGCCUGGGGAGUACGGCCGCAAGGCUAAAACUCAAAGGAAUUGACGGGGGCCCGCACAAGCGGCGGAGCAUGCGGAUUAAUUCGAUGCAACGCGAAGAACCUUACCAAGGCUUGACAUGUUCUCGAUCGCCGUAGAGAUACGGUUUCCCCUUUGGGGUGGGUUCACAGGUGGUGCAUGGUUGUCGUCAGCUCGUGUCGUGAGAUGUUGGGUUAAGUCCCGCAACGAGCGCAACCCUCGUUCCAUGUUGCCAGCACGUCGUGGUGGGGACUCAUGGGAGACUGCCGGGGUCAACUCGGAGGAAGGUGAGGACGACGUCAAAUCAUCAUGCCCCUUAUGUCUUGGGCUUCACGCAUGCUACAAUGGCCGGUACAAUGGGUUGCGAUACUGUGAGGUGGAGCUAAUCCCAAAAAGCCGGUCUCAGUUCGGAUUGGGGUCUGCAACUCGACCCCAUGAAGUCGGAGUCGCUAGUAAUCGCAGAUCAGCAACGCUGCGGUGAAUACGUUCCCGGGCCUUGUACACACCGCCCGUCAAAC
RNAcentral lists this ribosomal RNA (901 nucleotides) under uncultured bacterium. RNAcentral describes it as "bacterial SSU rRNA". It matches the Rfam family "Bacterial small subunit ribosomal RNA", at positions 505 to 1402 of the family's 1533-position model. The record is from RNAcentral.